This is an RNA transcript of Haemorhous mexicanus (house finch), 3460 nucleotides long. It is a transcript of the gene named coiled-coil domain containing 66, with no coding region annotated. The record is from RefSeq and is a predicted model, not a curated record. The transcript has 20 exons. Lineage: Eukaryota; Metazoa; Chordata; Aves; Passeriformes; Fringillidae.
CGGAGAGUGGAGCUGAGGGCUGGCGAUGCUCGGGGCUCCGCGGAGCUCCGCGGCUGCCGGGCAGCGCCAUGAACCUGGGAGAUGGACUGAAGCUCGAAACUGAAGUGCUGGAUGGAAAGCCUAGGCUAAUUUUAGCUUCUUCUGAUAAAUCAAAGCCUGCCAUGAAGAUGGGUAAUAAAGCCAGAGCACCUAAACAGGCAUUGAGAAUAAAGCACUCUGGACUCAUCUUGAGGGCAACACAAAAUGCUUGUAUCAAGCAGGAAAAUUUAACAAAACCAAGGAGUGAAUCAAGCUUAUCAAUGACAAAAGGUGAAAAACUGCAAGUUAAUAAACACUCCUCACAUGAAGCUGCAACUAAAAGUUACUCUUUGAUUUUCCAAAGAGAUAAGACAAAGAGAUAUCCUGAUUCAGAGGAUCCUAGUAUUGUGAAAAACACUAAACACAAACCUCAAGCCCCACAUGUAUCAGCUGAAGACUUAAAAAGUUUGGUGUGUUUAACACAAGCACAGCUUCAACAGAUUUUGAUGAUCGUUAAAGAAGGAAGAAGCAUUUCUGAGACUCAUGAUGAAAAGCAAGAGGAAAUGGCUACUAAUGAGGCACCAGAGGAAAAUGUUCUAGCAUCACUCCAAAAAGAUUGUGAAGUGUCCCCGGUUCCAGAUGAAGCAAACUCUGAUUCAGGCAGGAAACAAGAAGCACAUCCACAGCCAGGACAGAAUGUUAUAAAGGAUUCAUGGAAACCUGCUGACUUGUUUAGUACCUUGGGUGAAAGAGAAGGGGACAAAGCCUUAUUGGAAUUUAAAAAGGCCCAAUGGAAGAAGGAAUUAGAUGAACAGGUAGCACUGAAGAAGAAGUUGAAAGAAACUCUGGAGGGAGAGGUGGGUUAUUUCUGGGCAAAACUUGGCAGUAAGAAAAUCCCUAUAGUGGAAACACCUGACCCAGACCAGACAGUGCUUCCAGCUGACUCAGUUUGUGGCACUGAGGAGAACUCUGCCUGUACAGCUGCUUUAGCCACAGAGGCUGAUGGAGUUGCACUGAAUGUUCCAAGAGCACCAGCUGGGCAGUCUUCUGAUUUCAGUUCUUCUGACUUUCCAGCUGGCAAUUGCACAGCAUUGCCUUUCAGGGAAGGUGUGCCUCAGGAGCGACCUUUUACUGCUCUGAAACAUGAGCAACAGAAGAAGUGGCUUGAAGAGUUGGACAAGCAGAAGGAAGAAGCUAAACUACGAAAAUUAGAAGAAAAACUUAAUUUAUCAAAGGCAGAAGAGCAUGACAGAUGGGAAAUGCAUUUUGAUUCUUUUAAGAACCACUUUAAUGCUAAUGCACAACACCCCUUGAAUGGAAUGCACAGACAGCCUGAAAGUCUUUCCUUGUCACCUGACCCCAAGGACCCGACUGCUUUCAUUCACCCUGUGUCCCCUGCAGCUUUAGGCAACCUCAUGCCCUCACAGAUGGGAACUGCAGAAAAAGCUGCUAAAAAUGGUGCUUUGGAGCAAAGUCAGAGAGCCAGUUUCCUCCGUUCCAUGACGGCUCUGCUGGACCCUGCACAGAUUGAGGAGAGGGACAGGAGGCGGCAGAAGCAGUUGGAACAUCAGAAAGCAAUAAUGGCUCAGGUGGAAGAAAAACGGAAGCAGAAACAACUGGAGGAAGAGCAGAGAAAAUGGCAAGAGCAGCAGGAAGAGCUGCGCCUGGCACGAGAAAAAGCACAACUGCAGAAGCAGUUUGAAGAAGAAAUGCUGAAACAAAAACAAAAGGAGGAACUUGUAACCCUUAAAGCCAAAGAGCUUUAUCAGACAAUGGAGAAAGCUCAGGAAUUAACCCAGGGAUCAAAACAAGACCAGCACAUUCCAGACUUGGCUCAGAAGGCACAUGACAUUUCAGAACUUCAGAACAGUCUUGGUGGUGGUGACACAGAGUUUGACAACUGUAAUUCUGGCAUUUCAGCACAAAGUAUUGAUUUCCCUGCAGGUGUGGAGAGCCCCCCUGAGCUGCAGGCCUCCCCUCGGAAGGACACAGCGGUGCAGACAGAUUGCUUUAAUCCUUCAGCAUACAUAGAGUCAGCUGAGGAAAGAACUGCAUGUUGUGAAUCGCCUGAUAUUUCCAUAGAAUAUAAAGAAAUGUCUAACAGCAAAAAAUACCAGAAGGAAAUGCAGUAUAUGGAUAAAAAUAAACUUCCAGGAAAAGGGACUGGUGGUAUUUACAGUGAUCUAUAUGAGCAAUAUGCAAGAAAAGAAAGGCACAUUAAAUCUUCGGAAAAAUACAGCAAAAGACCUGACUGGAACAUAAACAAGCCUGGGAAAAGAUUCAUUCCAGCCUCAGAAAGGUACCCCAAAGCUCUGCAGAGACAGAGGGAGGAGAACAAGGUGCGCCGCCAAAUGGAGCUGCUGCAGCUGGUGGAAAGGAACAGCCCCGGGCAGCUCAGUGCACGAAGGGGGGGGCACUCAGCCAGGUCCCUCUCACCCCGGGAAGAAGCAGCUGGGAAGAGUAAGGGCCACAGAGGCAGAAAGGAAGAAAAAUUUCAUAAGAAUCACUUGAAUGAAGAAAGAUCUGAAUCACCACCUGUUCCAGCAGUUAGGAACAGAUUACUCCAAGUACAACAAAGACAGAUGCAGGCUCCUCAUUUCCUGCUGUGUAAGGAGCUGGGUGGGAGCGAGCAGGACGCCCCGGCAGCCUCGCAGCAGAGGAGCUCCCCCGCCGCCGCCCCCCCGAGCCCGCCCUGGGCGCGCUUCGUGCCCUACGUGCGCACACGGGAGGUUUUCUGCCUCCCCCCGGAGGCACCGCCGAGCCGGCCCUCGACACAGCACACCCACGAUUCUUACCAAAUGCCACGACAGAUUUUUAGCUCAGAUCAUGUUCGAGAUCCUCUUCUAAAUCCUGAUGCAGUUACAAUCAGAGAGAGACAACAAGAAAUUCUCAAAGGAUUGUCAAAAUUACGACAGGUCACAGCAGGUAUAGGAGCUAGCAACAGACUCUCUUUCCUCACUGAAAUCACAAGUCAGUGGAUAAGCUGAGCAAAGUGAAUUAUUUGUGAAAAAGAAGGGACAAAGUUUAAGAAAGGACUCGCCCCCAGGGCCUCCUGCAGAAGCAGAAGGAGUUGGAGAACACUCUGAUUCCCAUUGUAGCUCAAGAGAACUUCAUGCCACCGUUCUGAGAGGGGCAUAUGAAUGUUCUGAAUCCUCAAUAUGGAAAUGCACAGCACUUUCUACUGUAAUUAAUUACAAACCACCUCUAGCUUUUUUAUGAAAAUUAAAUUAUGAGAAUUUUGAUAGCCUACAUGGUCACAUUACAUUUUAUAUUGAAGAUAAUUUAGACUCAUGAUGGUUUGUCUGUUUAGAAUGAUUUUCCUGCUACUUGAAGACAAGUGUCAAUUUAAUAUAAACCACCAAAAACCAUGAAAGUGAACUGUUACAUGGGUUUUUGUAGAACUCAGUGUGAGAAUUUUGAUAAAUAAAAAGAUUAAGAUGUA